Molecule: RNA transcript, 572 nt
Organism: Odobenus rosmarus divergens (Pacific walrus)
Lineage: Eukaryota; Metazoa; Chordata; Mammalia; Carnivora; Odobenidae
Exons: 4
Source: RefSeq, a predicted model, not a curated record
AUGAGGGAGACUGCAGUUGGACAGCCGUCACACGCAGGCGCGGAGGUAGCUGGGAAAAGGCAGCUUCCUCACACCGGCCGCCGAAGUUUGUGUCGCUGCGGAGUGCUGCAGGUUUGUUUGGCACGGAUUGGAUUGGCAAUAACUUUCAGCUUUUUGGGGGAGCUGUUUCUUUUAGUGGUUAGUUUUAUGAUGAUCUGAAGAUAUUUCCUGAAUGUGGACUGUAAUUUUUCAAAAACACAGUGUGGCAAAAGCACUGUACGGCAUUUGUUGAAAAAUGUUUGGGAGAUUGACUCUUCCACAACUGCUUUUUGCUAGCAUCCUUGGAAUUGCUGGAGGGAUGUAUAUUUAUCAACCAAUAUUUGAACAAUACUACAGAGAUCAGAUGGAAUUAAAAGAAAAGUUGAAAUUGGCACAAGAAUCAGAAGAGAAGAAAAGUUAAUACUACAUGGAGUUGAAAUGUAAUUGUUUAAAGUUCUAUUGAAAUUAUACAUUGACUAUAAAUAAUCUAGUAAAAACUUCUCAAGUAUAUUUUAAACACAAAUAAAUAAUAGGUAAUGAUUUUAAAACAAGCA